Leptinotarsa decemlineata (Colorado potato beetle) is the source of this 610-nucleotide long non-coding RNA. Lineage: Eukaryota; Metazoa; Arthropoda; Insecta; Coleoptera; Chrysomelidae. The record is from RefSeq and is a predicted model, not a curated record.
CUAACGCCCUCAUCGGUAGAAAUUUUUCCUAUUUAUUUUUCAUUCUUUAAAUUGAUGUCAAUUAGUUUGUUGAAGUGAAUUUAUUGAGGGUCGUUAAUUUGAAGUAAUAUGCCAAGGGAAAUGCUUCCUUUCAUGAAUUUACGGAUGAAUAUAAUUCUAUACUGAAAUUCCCAAUGAUGUGACAACUUUUUUAAAUUCAGUGUAUUUAUAAUUUUCAUUUCUGUUUUGUUUGUUUGCAUUGGUGACACUGCCUACAGUCCCAGAUUAAUAUUUGAACAAGUAGCUCUUUAUAAUAAAUAAUAUGUGCUGUAUAUGUAAAACGAUUACAUGCAUAUCAACUCUUAUUUGCCUGAUUAUUUUAGUGGCUAUAAUUACUGGAGUGGUAUAUUUGGUACUUUAUUUAAAAAACAACAAUAUUAUAAAAUUUUAGAUGUUGCCAAUUGAACAUUUUUUACUGAAAUAAAAGAUGUUUUACAAAUUCUUAGUGUAAUUUUCAAGUUCCUACCUAAAUAGUAAAGAUGAUAUAAAAGGAGAAAAUGUAAUCAAAAAAUGUGGAAAAAAUAUGAUAAAUUUCAUACCUUUGUGCAUAUCACUAAUAAAUAUAUUUUAG